UACGGAAGGCAGCAGUGGGGAAUAUUGCACAAUGGGCGCAAGCCUGAUGCAGCCAUGCCGCGUGUAUGAAAAAGGCCUUCGGGUUGUAAAGUACUUUCAGUCGUGAGGAAGGUGUUAAGGUUAAUAACCUUAGCAAUUGACGUUAGCGACAGAAGAAGCACCGGCUAACUCCGUGCCAGCAGCCGCGGUAAUACGGAGGGUGCGAGCGUUAAUCGGAAUUACUGGGCGUAAAGGGCACGCAGGCGGUUAAUUAAGUUGGAUGUGAAAUCCCCGGGCUUAACCUGGGAUGGCAUUCAAGACUGGUUAGCUAGAGUCUUGUAGAGGGGGUAGGAAUUCCAUGUGUAGCGGUGAAAUGCGUAGAGAUGUGGAGGAAUACCGGUGGCGAAGGCGGCCCCUGGACAAAGACUGACGCUCAUGUGCGAAAGCGUGGGGAGCAAACAGGGAUUAGAUACC
Molecule: ribosomal RNA, 453 nt
Filed under: uncultured bacterium
Lineage: Bacteria
Description: bacterial SSU rRNA
Rfam family: Bacterial small subunit ribosomal RNA
Source: RNAcentral